RNAcentral lists this ribosomal RNA (799 nucleotides) under Tetraclita rufotincta. RNAcentral describes it as "12S ribosomal RNA". Lineage: Eukaryota; Metazoa; Arthropoda; Thecostraca; Balanomorpha; Tetraclitidae. The record is from RNAcentral.
UUAAAUUUUAGGAUUAAGUGGAGAGAGAAUAAGAUAAGGGAGAGAGGUAGAACGUUGAGGUCCGUGUUGUAAUUUUAGUUUUUUUGUAAAUCUACAUGUAAGUUUAAGCUCGAAGUUUUUUUGUAUAAAUUAGCUUAGGAGAUUCUCAGUAGAAAAUUUUGGAAAUAUACUAAUGUUUUAUCCAGAUAACAAAUAAGAGGUGGAAAAUGGCGUGCCAGCAGCCGCGGUUAUACUUCAGCCUUAAAUUAAAAUGUUUGUACAAAAUUGUGUUUUUGAAUUGUUAUAUCAAGGAUUUAUUUUUAUCAUAAAGUAGAAUUUAGAUUUUAAGAAAAAAUUGGUAGGAGAAGCAUAAGACUUAUUUUUGGGACCAGGAUUAGAUACCCUGUUACUUUUAAUAAAAUAGUUUUGGAAUAAUAGUAUUAAUGAAAUUUAACGGAUUUGGCGGCAAGAUAGCCCCUUAGAGGAACCUGCCCUGUAAACGAUGAACCACGAAGAAACAUUACUUUUUUUUGAGAUCAGUUUGUAUAUCGCUGUUGUCAGUUAGAUUCUAGAGAAUAUUUUCAUUCAUGAUAAAGUCAUUGACUUCAAGUAAAGGUGCAGCUUAUAAAAAAGAAAGAGGUGGGUUACAUUUAAAAGAAUAAAACGGAUAAGGUGAAUGAAAAAACCUUUGAAGGUGGAUUUAACUGUAAAACUUAAGGAAGUUUGGUGGGAGCUCUAUCUUGUGUACACACCGCCCGUCGCUCUCUUUUUUAAAACGAGAUAAGUCGUAACAAGGUAAGUGUAAUGGAAAUUGUACUUG